RNAcentral lists this long non-coding RNA (755 nucleotides) under Mus pahari (shrew mouse). Its description in RNAcentral is "lncRNA (MGP_PahariEiJ_G0005604.1)". Lineage: Eukaryota; Metazoa; Chordata; Mammalia; Rodentia; Muridae. The record is from RNAcentral.
GCGGAAGACGGAAGAGGGAGUGAGAUGACAGGUGAGCCUGGCUUCCUUCUGUGUCCCCUCCUCCCCCGUUUUUAUAUUGUCAUAGGGAGAGACUCAAGAGCAGGGUCUGGAGAGGAGAUGGAAUCGGGCCCUGGAGAACCACAUGUCUGACUGACAGAGACAUAGGGAAAGAACUUGACAACUUCAUUAGCAAAGGGAAAAGCAGAGUCUGGGCAGAAGGAGGCUUGGUUCUCACAGAACACCUUCAGAUCCUUAACAGGUCCAAAAAAUAUUGGCAGGCGAGGGCAUCCUAGGAUAAAGCUGUAGGAAGGCCCGGCUUUGCUUUCAUGAAAAAUGCAAAUGAAAGCCACAGGAAGGUCGAGUAGAAACGAGUUAGCAGAGGGCUGAGUCCACAGCUCCGUAGGAAAUGGCGCUGGUUGAGCAAGCACAAGGACCUGUGUUCAAAUAUCUAGAACCUACAUUAAACAGAAGGCGUUUCUGGAUGCUGGGGACGUGGAGAAUGGCCUGACCUGUUCCCAGGAGAGGAAUGACCUUGUCCAUCAGGACCUUGUCCAUCAGCAAGUCUCCUGCACCUAGAAACUGCCCCAAUAGGAGACAGAGCCCCGUGUACGUUCGUUAUUUGAUGAAAAAAAUAAUCAGAAAUGGUGCUGCGGAACUGGUACGUCUGUGCCGUUAGCACAGAUGCUAACGGCAACAUCAAUAUUUGAACCAGGAGCUGGCCCUAUAAUUAAUUGGCACCUAAUGUGGGUGACACU